GACGAACGCUGGCGGCGUGCUUAACACAUGCAAGUCGAACGGGCCUGUCUUCUUUUUUGGGGGUGGGUUGAGUGGCGAACGGGUGAGUAUCACGUGAGUAACCUGCCCUUCGGUCCUGGAUAACCGCUUGAAAGGGCGGCUAAUACGGGGUGGUCCGGGUGGUCCGCAUGGGCUGGUCGGGAUAGAUUCACUGUUUUUGGUGUUUCGGCGGGGGAUGGGCUCGCGGCCUAUCAGCUUGUUGGUGGGGUGAUGGCCUACCAAGGCGGUGACGGGUAGCCGGGCUGAGAGGGUGGGCGGCCACACUGGGACUGAGAUACGGCCCAGACUCCUGCGGGAGGCAGCAGUGGGGGGUAUUGCACAAUGGGCGGAAGCCUGAUGCAGCGACGUCGCGUGAGGGAUGGAGGCCUUCGGGUUGUGAACCUCUGUUUCCGGUGGUGAAGGCCCUGUCCGUGUGGUGGGGUUGACGGUAGCCGGGGAUGAAGCGCCGGCUAACUACGUG
RNAcentral lists this ribosomal RNA (499 nucleotides) under uncultured bacterium. RNAcentral describes it as "partial 16S ribosomal RNA". It matches the Rfam family "Bacterial small subunit ribosomal RNA", at positions 28 to 507 of the family's 1533-position model. The record is from RNAcentral.